Molecule: ribosomal RNA, 323 nt
Filed under: uncultured fungus
Lineage: Eukaryota; Fungi
Description: SSU rRNA
Rfam family: Eukaryotic small subunit ribosomal RNA
Source: RNAcentral
ACGGGUACGGCGAAUUGGGUUCGAUUCCGGAGAGGGAGCCUGAGAAACGGCUACCACAUCUAGGAGGCGCGGCGCGCAUUACCCAAUCCUGAUUCAGGGAGGUAGUGACAAUAAAUAACAAUCCAGGACUUCGGUCUUGGAAUUGGAAUGAGAACAAUUUAAAUCUCUUAUCGAGGAACAAUUGGAGGGCAAGUCUGGUGCCAGCAGCCGCGGUAAUUCCGGCUCCAAUAGCGUAUAUUAAAGUUGUUGCAGUUAAAUAGCUCGUAGUUGAAUCUUGGGGCUGGUUUGGCGGUCGCGUCUUUGACGUGUACUGUCGGGCCGGU